CGGAGGAUCCAAGCGUUAUCCGGAAUCAUUGGGUUUAAAGGGUCCGUAGGCGGCCCUGUAAGUCAGUGGUGAAAUCUCCCCGCUCAACGGGGAAACUGCCAUUGAUACUGCAGGGCUUGAAUUACCAGGAAGUAACUAGAAUAUGUAGUGUAGCGGUGAAAUGCUUAGAGAUUACAUGGAAUACCGAUUGCGAAGGCAGGUUACUACUGGUGGAUUGACGCUGAUGGACGAAAGCGUGGGUAGCGAACAGGAUUAGAUACCCUGGUAGUCCACGCCGUAAACGAUGGAUACUAGCUGUCGGGCCGCAAGGCUCGGUGGCUAAGCGAAAGUGAUAAGUAUCCCACCUGGGGAGUACGGGCGCAAGCCUG
RNAcentral lists this ribosomal RNA (368 nucleotides) under uncultured organism. RNAcentral describes it as "bacterial SSU rRNA". It matches the Rfam family "Bacterial small subunit ribosomal RNA", at positions 526 to 896 of the family's 1533-position model. The record is from RNAcentral.